AUUGAACGCUGGCGGCAGGCCUAACACAUGCAAGUCGAACGGUAACAGGGAUCAGCUUGCUGAUUCGCUGACGAGUGGCGGACGGGUGAGUAAUGUCUGGGAAACUGCCUGAUGGAGGGGGAUAACUACUGGAAACGGUAGCUAAUACCGCAUAACGUCGCAAGACCAAAGAGGGGGGCCUUCGGGCCUCUUGCCAUCGGAUGUGCCCAGAUGGGAUUAGCUAGUAGGUGGGGUAACGGCUCACCUAGGCGACGAUCCCUAGCUGGUCUGAGAGGAUGACCAGCCACACUGGAACUGAGACACGGUCCAGACUCCUACGGGAGGCAGCAGUGGGGAAUAUUGCACAAUGGGCGCAAGCCUGAUGCAGCCAUGCCGCGUGUAUGAAGAAGGCCUUCGGGUUGUAAAGUACUUUCAGCGGGGAGGAAGGGAGUAAAGUUAAUACCUUUGCUCAUUGACGUUACCCGCAGAAGAAGCACCGGCUAACUCCGUG
This 490-nucleotide ribosomal RNA is filed under the name uncultured bacterium. Its description in RNAcentral is "partial 16S ribosomal RNA". It matches the Rfam family "Bacterial small subunit ribosomal RNA", at positions 30 to 507 of the family's 1533-position model. The record is from RNAcentral.